This 481-nucleotide ribosomal RNA is filed under the name uncultured bacterium. RNAcentral describes it as "partial 16S ribosomal RNA". It matches the Rfam family "Bacterial small subunit ribosomal RNA", at positions 28 to 507 of the family's 1533-position model. The record is from RNAcentral.
GAUGAACGCUGGCGGCGUGCUUAACACAUGCAAGUCGAACGAAGCAUUUAAGACAGAUUACUUCGGUUUGAAGUCUUUUAUGACUGAGUGGCGGACGGGUGAGUAACGCGUGGGUAACCUGCCUCAUACAGGGGGAUAGCAGCUGGAAACGGCUGGUAAUACCGCAUAAGCGCACAGUACCACAUGGUCCAGUGUGAAAAACUCCGGUGGUAUGAGAUGGACCCGCGUCUGAUUAGCUUGUUGGCGGGGUAACGGCCCACCAAGGCGACGAUCAGUAGCCGACCUGAGAGGGUGACCGGCCACAUUGGGACUGAGACACGGCCCAGACUCCUACGGGAGGCAGCAGUGGGGAAUAUUGCACAAUGGAGGAAACUCUGAUGCAGCGACGCCGCGUGAGUGAAGAAGUAGUUCGCUAUGUAAAGCUCUAUAAGCAGGGAAGAUAGUGACGGUACCUGACGAAGAAGCUCCGGCUAAAUACGUG